UGGGCAACCUGCCCCAGACUCAGGGAUAACCCCGGGGAAACCGGGGCUAAUACCCGAUACUCCGAUCGAACCACAUGGCUCGAUCGGGAAAGCUCCGACGGUCUGGGAUGGGCCCGCGGCCUAUCAGCUUUGUUGGUGGGGUCAUGGCUCACCAAGGCGACGACGGGUAGCUGGUCUGAGAGGAUGGCCAGCCACAUUGGGACUGAGACACGGCCCAGACCUCCGUACGGGGA
RNAcentral lists this ribosomal RNA (233 nucleotides) under uncultured bacterium. RNAcentral's name for it is "partial 16S ribosomal RNA". It matches the Rfam family "Bacterial small subunit ribosomal RNA", at positions 118 to 347 of the family's 1533-position model. The record is from RNAcentral.